Molecule: long non-coding RNA, 2375 nt
Organism: Crotalus tigris (Tiger rattlesnake)
Lineage: Eukaryota; Metazoa; Chordata; Lepidosauria; Squamata; Viperidae
Exons: 4
Source: RefSeq, a predicted model, not a curated record
AGGCUGGGGGGAGUUUUACGACGCUCUUGGCUCGGGCGGGACUCCCAAAGCAAUCGCUCACCGGCGAACGACGCCGGGACUGCCCGCUGCCAAGUCGGGCAGCUGCAGACAGUAAGGAGGGCGGAGAACAAGGCGGGCACCGGCCUUCCCAGAGAGUGAUUGAUUUAGGGCUGCUCCGCUUCCGCCCCAGCGCCGGGCUGAGCCGGCGGUGGCCCUCUAUGUGAGGUCAUUUGCAUAUGGUGACCUCCUCUUGCCCUGUCCUGGGGCUCUUUGGGAAAGAGUUUUCUGCAAUCUUCCACAUCUAAAAUAAUUUUCUUUCCUCUCCCCCCCCCCACAAACGAAAAAAGAAAGUUUUUUUUUAACUGUCUCUGAGAGGAGCUAGAUCUAGUUAUUCAAUUAAGCAGUUGGAAGUGCCAGGGUGUCAGUGGGUCCCUUUUCCUGCCUUAACUGGCAACCCAUGCCCACAGAAGAAUGUGUCACAACAUCUUCUCUGUGCCAGCCAAGAUUGCUCAUUGCAAGCCAGCCAAUAAGCGUCCUUAAUUGAAACUGCAGCCAACGAAUGAGAACAGCUCUCCCUUCUGUGUUAUUUUGCUACCCUGGAAAAAGGGCAAUUUGCACCAUCCAUCAACUUUGGAAAAUUGGUUGGUUAAAAAGCAGUCCGUAGCAUGAGUUCCCAUGGUUGAUUGCACUGCCCUGCUCCAAUAUAUAUGGCUGGGCUCUACUGUUUGUGGAGGAGAAGCUGUCGAUCUAAUCACAGAUUUGGCGACAGGAUGAAAAGCCCAGAUCAAAAGAGUUGUUGCAAACUGUUUGGAAAAGCCUUCAAGCUUAAAAGAAUUAAGGCCUAUUUGCAACGAGAUAUAAACAGCAUCAAAGAGAAACCACAAAGACCCAAGGUUUAUAAUUGAUCUAGACCUGAAUUUGGAAUGUAGAUAGAAAUUCUGUCCAACUGGCUCCUCUACAAAGAAGAGAUGAAGAUCCAAUGGAUUUGGAAACAAAUGGACAAAUCCUAUCUGUUCUAUGACAAGAGCUAUUGUAUUUUUUGGGGGGGGGUGUCCAGAUAAAUGGAUUUUCCACCUGCCAGUUAGAAUCUUGCAAAAAAAGAAAUCUUUGCCUAUACCUGUUCCCAAACCUGGCUCUAAUAUAAAACAUCUGGAUAUUUUGACUGUUUCCCUGUCUUCCCCUCUUUGCAACUCUCCUCUUUUAUAUAGUAGUCUAAAAAGCUCAGCAGGUGUGAAAUCGACCAGAGUUAAUUAGCAAUAAAUCAUCUAAAAUUAUCUGUUCCAGGCCACUUGGUUUUUGUUUAUUGUUUCCGUGACUUGUCAGUUUCAGAAGAGCAACUGCUUUGAAGCAGAAGGAACAAAAAACAAUGGCCCUAUCUUAAGCAUUGAGCAAAUCACAGGUCCUAGGGCACAACAUUGUUUGAUCAUCAGGGAAUUUGUCUUUGUCAACAUCAGGACUGUCACUUCAUCUACUCACUCCCUCAUCUCCUAGUUGAGAAACACUGUCCUAGUUGAAGUUCAUUGUGUCAAUAGUACAGGUGUGCAGGAGGGUUGAGAAAUGAGUUAUCAUAUAAACAUCCCAAGAAUGCAAAUUGUUCAAUGUGCCCAGUUCUGUCAGAUCUCACUUAAUGAGGGGGAAAGAUAGCAUGAAUUUGAGCUCCCUAGGCCUGAAGUAUGAAGCCUAUGGUUCUUACAAAAUCUAGUAUGCCUGAGGGACAAGAGUACUUUCAACCCAUCCCUUUCAUUAUACCUGUGUGUGAAUUAGCUCCCAGAGCUUAAUUUCCAUACCUAUGCAUGUUUGACACUUCCCAGAUACUUCAAGAGAUGUCUACAGCUUGUCUGGCUUUGAUAACUUUACUUCCUUAAUUGUCAUACCACCCCCAAAAAAAGUUUUCAUUUCAUUCUUGGUGCUAAGAAGAUACUCAAGAAUGGCAAGAAGGACUUGCCCCCAAUUCUGAACAGCAGAAUACUCUUAAUGCCAAACACAGUAAAAAUAAAUAAAAAUCAACCCCUUCUGUUCUUAACUCUACUGCGUAAGCACAAAAUUUUUUGAAACUCAUGAGAUGGAGGGAAAAUUGGAAAUAAAUUUUCAGAAAGUUGUUUGGAACUGCUAGAGCUAACUCUGCUCUAGCAGACGAAGAGAAAUUAAGCAAAUAGUCAAAUGGGUAGGGAUGCAGAGACAUAAACCUGACUUUGCUCCUAUUCUUGCACUAAUCAUCUGUUAUUAGACAAUGAUAGGAUUACUCAAACAGUCUGAUAAUAAGAGUUAUCCAAGGACUAUUAGCCUAGUACAUAAGCACCAUAUUAAAAAUCUAGAAUCAGUACAGACCUAUUCCCUCUUGCUUUGUUAUUAAAUAUUUACUUUCAUGAACAGGA